This 441-nucleotide ribosomal RNA is filed under the name uncultured bacterium. RNAcentral's name for it is "partial 16S ribosomal RNA". It matches the Rfam family "Bacterial small subunit ribosomal RNA", at positions 338 to 795 of the family's 1533-position model. The record is from RNAcentral.
CCUACGGGAGGCAGCAGUGGGGAAUAUUGCACAAUGGGGGAAACCCUGAUGCAGCGACGCCGCGUGAGUGAAGAAGUAUUUCGGUAUGUAAAGCUCUAUCAGCAGGGAAGAAAACAGACGGUACCUGAUUAAGCAGCCCCGGCUAACUACGUGCCAGCAGCCGCGGUCAUACGUAGGGGGCAAGCGUUAUCCGGAUUUACUGGGUGUAAAGGGAGCGUAGACGGCGCGGCAAGUCUGAAGUGAAAGGCAGGGGCUUAACCCCUGAACUGCCUUGAAAACGGCCAUGCUAGAGUGCUGGAGAGGGAAGUGGAAUUUCUAGUGUAGCGGUGAAAUGCGUAGAGAUUAGGAGGAACACCAGUGGCGAAGGCGGCUUACUAGACAGUAACUGACGUUGAGGCACGAAAGCGUGGGGAGCAAACAGGAUUAGAUACCCGGGUAGUC